GUUUUUUUUUUUUUGUUUUGCUAGACAAGUCAAAAAUACGACUGAUGACGUGCAGCAAAUAAAGCUAAGUCGACCCAGUUGUAGGAUACCGAAUUACUUGGACUCUUGAUGAUGGACUCUCCGGUGACUAUGAAGCAAGGAGGAUUCAACAAAAGACGCGCACACAUGAUCGUCGAGACCAGCAGCAAGUCCCCAAAACAUUCUCUCGUCGAUUGACACCAAGCCUAUUAUGAGCUAACCGAAUUUCGUACGCGGCCUUGGAGCUAUGCUGGAACGAAGCGGGCUGCCCAGAUGCACAUGCAGCAGCAGGGGCAUGCACGUGCUGCCUGUAUGCACAGAUCGAGCUGAGAACUGUAAAUGAACCCUAGCACGUCCCAGCAACAGCAACUAUGGAAUGGAUCGGAAUUCGGAAAUGGAAAGCUCAAUGCUAGCCUGCUGCUAUAUAUGCCCCAUUUUUCCAGCACCGGGAAAAAAGUUGCAGUGCCUACGACUAGUAGCGAGCUAGUUUCGUUUGGCGCAUUUAUCUGAGGUUCAUGGUUACAUACUUCCUCCGUUCCAAAUUAUAAGUCAUUCCAAUUUUCUUGGAGAGUCAAAUCAUUUUAUGUUUGAUCAAAAUUAUAGAGAGGAUCAUAAAAGUUUAUGGCACCGAAUAGAUAUACUAUGAAAAUAUAUUUAAUGAAAAAACUAAUGGUACCUAUUUGGUACCAUGAAUGUUAAUACUUUAUUGUAUAAAUUUGAUCAAAUUUGAGAUGAUUUAACUCUCCAAAAAAGUUAGAAUGACUUAUAAUUUGGAACGGAGGGAGUAUAUAUUAUAUACACAUGCAUCAACGCAUUCUUGUUACUGCUUCCAGCGUGCAAAAAGGAGUUGAGACUAGUAUAGCAGUAUAGCACCAGCUCCACCAUGAUUCCUCCCACAUUAUUGGCUGCUUCAAUUCUCCGGUCCUGUGGUUGCAACGUCAACAGAGGAUCCUGCUUUCCUAAGCUGCGAAAGUGGAUUGGAUGCCAAUAACAAGAAUUCUGGCAACUCCCUGCUACCAAUGCAAUGUGUUUACAACAUGAAAUGAAACCGUUGGGUUGGAUCCACCACGGCUCAGUCAGAAUUCAGAAAGAUCACACUAAAAAACAUAGUAUAACAAUUCACCGCAUCAUCGGCCAUCUGGUCAGCAGAUUAAUAAUUAAAAAGACGAGAAGAGAAGAGUAGCCCACUGCCUCUGCCACUUGCUCUGAACAUGGUGGUUGGGCGUUCAGUGGCAACUUGCUCCAUCUACCUCUGACUUCAUCUCGGCCGCCGCCGGCGAGCUCCGGCUCCACUGCCCGGUCUGAUCUACGUUGCCAUACUUUGCUGUAGCAGACAGCAGUAGUGCAGUUACACUGGUAAUACCAGUCACCGCGCACAAACUUGUAUUAAACUGAAGUAUACUUUAGCCGAUUAGCUAGAUUUCUUUUAUACAACUAACCCAUAUCAUACCACCGAGGAGGAUACAUGAUGAAGCCGCAGGAAGCUGAUCUGGCUUCAGGACGGUUGACGUACGUGCAUGCUGAGAACAAUGACCGGUGAAGUGUUCAAUUAUUAGGUGGCAAGUAGCAGUAGUUGGCAGUUUGGGGCUCAGUCAUCUUAGCUUUGAGGUUCUGAACAUUCAUCAUAGACCGGUCAGCGCGUAAGUAAACGUCGAUCAAACUCAUGCUUUUUUGCUCAUCAAGCAUACUACUCUUAGUGCAGAACGCACUUAGGAGCAAGUUUAAUUCUUUUCUUCUAGUGAAGCAGGUUGGUCGUUCCGCAAGCUUGGACCAGCAUCUGUCCGUGGAAUGUCGUCAUUAUAUUACCGCAAUGGACCAUCACUGAUGUCAAUCAUGAGCUCACCACUUGUAAAUCAAAGCAUCUAAACAAUGGUGCACGAACUAAAAUACUCUCGAUCACUCACCCCACGUCCCCACGUUUUAAAAAGAAAAGGUUAAAACAUGUGUAUUGUGCAGAAUGAGUAAUGUUUUUUUUAAAAAAAACGAAAUGAGUAAUAUAAUGCUUUGGUUCCAUCCAGUUCAUGUUGCUGUAGAAUUGCUGUUCGCCGUCGUCAGUACACUCCAUCACCCACGAUGGUGAAGAAUUACGUAUCGAAAUCGUAGCUGUAAGAAGCAACAGUGAAAACGAAAUGAGGCCCUAGUUGACCAAAAUCACUAUGCCAGCACUGUAGCAUACUGUAGCGUUUCGUUUGUAUUUGUGAAUUAUUGUCCAAAUAUUGACUAAUUAGGCUCAAAAGAUUCGUCUCGCAAAGUACAACCAAACUGUGCAAUUAGUUUUUGAUUUCGUCUACAUUCAGUACUCCAUGCAUGUACCGUAAGUUUGAUGUGAUGGGGAAUCGUCUUUUUGCAUAGUACCAAAGUUAGGAUUUUCAGGUAACUAAACGAGACCUGAAAUGAUAAAGUGGCCCCCACCAGCGCUUGGUCGGUUAGCUGUCCGGAUCACCAUGUAGUACCAUGGAAAGGGAAGGCAGGCCAGUGCGGGGCCCCACUUUUUUGCCGACGAUAAGAUUCACACGGCUCACAAACAGACAAUAAUCUAAUGCAUAUAUUCCUCCAAUGAAAACAGAUGAAUGCACAGUCUGACGGUCUCUGAAGUGGAAAAUUCUCUCUCGAUAAAGACUGUGAUCGACGUGCCACAAACUCAUAAUGCAUGUUGUUGCAGUGUCAUCUUCUUCUUCACUUUCUUUUUUAUUACUAGUUGGCAAUCAGCUUGUCACGGAUGGAUCGGCUUGUUACGAUGGAAAUCAGCCCGUGGUUUAAAACGGCCCAGCCCACUGCAUACAAACUACAACAUCUUCCAGCCCGGUGCCUCAUACGUGAAUUCGCCCAAAUUUCUGUUGGUCCUCCUAAUAAAGGAAAAAAUUUAGCUUCUGGCUCCGCCUCUGCUGACAUGGAAGUGGGACACUCUGCGACCAUGAAAUGGGUAAUAUAACUCAUAAGUUAAUCAUUUUCCAUGUGAUGCGGCCAAAGUAACACGACUAUGAAGACAACAUGGAUAGCAUAACUGGUCAUCUGAAGCAGCUACAGAAGUUGGAGCAACAAGUUUGCGCUGAAUUGUCGUCCAUUUUCUAAUUUUCUGUAUAACAGACAACAAAUUUACUAGAUAUACACAUUGGAAUUCUUCCCUAGUACUUUACAUUAUCUGGAUACGAAAGGUUAACCAGGGUACACAGAUGACAAAUACAAAUUCCGUCCAAGCUCCAGCCUGCCUGCCUAUGCUACGAUUGAAUUUGAAGCAUCCCCAUCACCAAUCAGUACACAGACUCGAAAACAUUUCGUUUCGACGGGCAAUACGCUACGAUUGAAUUUGAAGCAUCCAAACCACCAAAUCUUCGCCUAUGUACAACUGCUGCAUCGGACAAAAAAACUGCCGACGCCAUGAACUUUAGUGGCUAUUCUUGGCAUUGCAGCUCACAGCUUCAGAGAAGAGGAACUCGAAGAUGGUAAGCAGCCACUGUCCUUGCUGUCGUGGAGCAAGAUUGAACAAUCACUUGAUGGUAUCUGGGACCAAUCUAUUUGGCUGUUAUUCAAGGAGUGGUGGGGUUGGGCGAUAUGUAAGUCUUCAAUCAGAUCGGCAUCGUCAGGUGAGACCUCAAUUGGGAUCUGACCGCAAAGCAUCUUCACAACUGAAGACAUUCUUGGCCGCUGGGUUGGUAACGUGCUUGUACAUAGGAGAGCUACGUUCAGCAGCCUCAGUGCCUGUUCUUGCGAGUAGUCAGAACCAAGACGCCGAUCAACAACUUCAAGCAGCCUCCCUUGCUGCUUCAAUCCUUCAGCCUGAGCGAGGUUAACGUAAAAGGAAUAGUGAAUCAAUUGUUUGAACAAAAAAAAAACAGCCCAACUAUCAUUAAAAGCUACGCAAAUUUAACAGUAGCUUUACAGAAGACAGGGUUCUAAGUAAUCUUGUCACGUAAAAUGAAAUUAAACUUUAUUGUGUUAAUUAUGAAAACCAUGUCCUGAAGGACAGAAAGGCAGCAAAAGAAAAUAUUCAUACCCAAUCAAGAAGGUGCAGAUAUUCUUCAUUUGACACGCUAUUCGUAUUGCUCAUUCCACUAACAAUUUCUAGUGUCACCACUCCAUAACUGUAGAUGUCCGCUUUACGUGUCAAGCAACCUCUUGUGGCAUAUUCAGGAGCCAUAUAACCACUGAAACCACGAAAACCACCACAAUAGCAUCAGGCAUAGUGGGCAUUAACUUAAUGUGUCCAUAUAAAAAUACCAUUAUACAUAGGAAGCUUUAUACAGUUGUACUAGCUCAAAGUAUGGGACUCUUUUAGAAGGUUAAGCGAUCGCUACAAUAGAAAAAUUAAAGGAUCAACAGCAACUAGACAAACAGCUUACACUGUUCCAGCGAUCCGAGUGCUCACAGGACCAGAGUCAUCAUUCAGUUUAGCCAAGCCAAAAUCUGAUAUUUUAGGCUGCAGCUUUUCAUCAAGAAGAAUAUUUGAUGGUUUAAUAUCUCUGUGGAUUAUUUUUAGUGUAGACUCUUCGUGGAGAUAGACCAGACCUUUUGCAGUCCCAAGGCAGAUGUUGUACCUUGUUGGCCAGUCUAAUUUCAGCUUGUGUUCUGCACGACCUAAGAAAUGUCUUAUUAUUAGAACAGGAUGCGCUUGCUAGCUUUAGAGUGUUGUACUAAUUAACUUGAGACAAAUCCAUUUCAGAGCAAGAAUAUACAAUUUUAGAAUACAAAAAUUUAUGAAGGCUUACCAAAAAGUGCACGACCAAGACUAUUAUUUUCCAAGAAUUCAUAUAUCAGAAGAAGCUGAUCCCCAUCAAUACAACAACCAAAGAGCCUCACAAGGUUUGGAUGCCUUAGAGUAAAUAUUAUUCCUGUCUCAUUUAAAAACUCACGAUUUCCUUGGCUUGAUUUCGAGGACAGCUUUUUUACUGCAAUAGCAGUACCAUCUGCUAGUGUACCCUGAAGACGAGAGGUUUACAGAGUGUUUUAUAACUCUGAAAUAAUCGCAUAGAUAUUUAUCAAAGGAGAGGAAACAAAAAGAUGGCGAACUAAAAUGCUAGUUGCACAGCUACUAAUGGUUUGAUUUCCCUUGAUAAUUGCUUUGUAAAUCUGUUUACCCGUAUCUUGACCCUCUGAGUAAGUCGUGAUGAGUUGCUUACCUUGAAGACUGUAAACAAAUUAUCCAUCAUUUUCUUUGGAAAUAAAAAGGUUACCAACUGAUGGUUUUCUAAUUUCAGCAGAGCUAACAACCACCUCAAUCAUUAGGAAAAGAUAAUUUCUGAGUGCUAUCUUUCUAGAUUACUAUGUUGUGGUAUUUGGCAACUCAAACAAUUAGAUGAGGAAGCAAUUUAUGUGAAAAUGUAUUAAUAAAUGAGGUGAUGAAGAACAUUAUUUUCUCCUUGCCACCAGAAGGGAGAGGAUCUUAAAGUUCUUUUUUUUUACCUUGUAAACAGGUCCAAAGCCACCCUCACCUAUUUUAUUUGCAGGAUCAAAAUGUUUUGUUGCAUGCUCAAUCUCUUUCAAGGUAAAGAAAUACUGUGCCCGUGUUUGAAGCUCUGAAAUAGUAGUUUUCCUUCCUUGGUUGCAGAAAUGUCUACCUGUGAUGACACAUGACAGUAAAAUAUGAACGCUUCAUGACAGAAAUACAACAAUGAUUUGAAUACCUCAUUGGAAAACAAGAUUUAUUUUCGAAGCUUAGACUUGUGGCAUAAACUAACUAAUUGCACAUUGCACAUAGAAGUUACUUAGACACCCUAAAACAUGUCCUGUAAGUUGAUAAUUCUUGGCCAUGACUUAAGUUUACAAGCCUGGCAAACCCAAAAGGUUGGAAAAACAGCCCUUAAACUAUGUUGAACAUGAAUCUUAGUUCAUUAUGUAACUGCAUUUACCUCAAAAAAAAUUAUGUAAAUGUGAAAUCUUCCCUAAUUCACGAUCAUAAACAAAAUCAUGUAGAACAAUAAAUUUUCUAAAUAUGAAAGGUUUUCAUAUCGCCGCAAAUACUCAUACCACAAAACAUGAACAGAACAAACUAAACACCAUUAGUGUCGUUAACUCUAAGACAAGAAAAAUAAUUAUACAUGGAGAGUUAAAACAGUAACUUUUAUGUUAUGCAUAACAACAAACAUUUUUCUGGUCUGAACAAACAGAUCAGGAUUGUUCAGACAAGGCCCAAUGUUUUUCUGAGACCACAGAGAGCAUUAGAGGUGACAAAUGGAUACUUUUUGUUCAUUUUAUUCAACUACUGUAUUUGAUGUGAUGUGUACAUGGCAUAAAUUCCCUGAAGGACUAACAAAGAAAAUAGCACAUAUAAGCCACAUUUUAGUUUUUCUCAAAUCAAUUGUUUUUUUUUAAAAGUAACCACAUAUGCUAAUACAGAAAUUAUAAACUGAUAAGAAACAUGCUGAACCAGUGACAGAAAAUGAACCCACCAUGCAUGUUAAUACAAAAAUUAUAAAAUGACUUGGAACGGAAACGUAUAUUUAAGAAGAUGAACUCAUUGUUACCUAUAACAUUCUUCCUUUUCCAGAUUUUGAAAUAGCAGGCUAUAAGCAGGAGUAUGACAGCCAAACAUGGUACAGCUAUUAUGGCGAUCACCACUCCAGUUGAGACUCCACGAUGGUUCCUGCGAGCUGUACCGAUACUGAAUUAGCUAAUUUCCAAGCGUAUGAGAAAAUAAGGUUGCAAAAACAUUUUUAAAAAGAUAGAUCACGAAAUUUGUGAAGAGAAAAGGUCAUCUGGGGAGCGAACUACUCACUCUGAGUUACCGAUAUGGCUGAGAUCAGUGGACCAUACAUGCCCCGAUAAGGUAUCGCUGUGCUACCUUUGCCUCCCCAAUAUAAGUGAAUUUCCAGUGUAUUCUCUGUAAUGUUGGUUGCAAAAUAUUUGGUAAUUGCACGACGGACACCACCAGCCUCAUCUUGAAUGUUAAAGUCCCCCAAUACUUUAGCACCCUGAAAAAGUUGUUGCAAAGUUCAGUAAACAAUCUAUUAGAAAAAAAAAUAAUCCUGUAUAAUGUAUUCUGUGAACUUUUCAAGUACAAUAGAAACAAAACUAUUAUAAAAAGUUUGAAUAGAGGUUAUUACAGCAGCAAGAAAUAAACCUUAUAAGACUUUUGAUGUUUACAACUUUAGUAUAGGGGUUCAUUUUCUCAGUUGGAUUGUAAUACAGCAACUGCUUUUAGAUUGUAGAAUGCUAAUCCUUGAUAAAUUGCUUAUAUUCACAUGAAUCAACUGGUAACAGGCUGGAAACACCAACUGCUAGAUAUUACAGAAACUAUACCUGGAUGAAGACAUCAAAAACACGCUUGCCGUUACUGGAAUAAGUAUGAUCUUCUGUGAACACAAUCUCAGCAAAAUGAAGCUUUACCAUAUAUUCACCAUUAUCCAUGCAAAGGCCAUAGUAUUUCAGAGAGAGAGAUACGAGACGAGCUUCAGUGUAUAGCUCAGGAUGAGCCAGGGUUAAUUCCGAUGUGUUUCUAGCAAUAUAGUCAGCAUUCUCGUUACCCACAAAAUCACCUGUGCUACUGUAUGCCCAUUUCUUAUCAUUAGAUAAAACAAAGGUUGAUGUUCCAAUUUGGGACGAGUCAUCCUUGUAGGUAACCCCAUCCACCGUAACACUUUUACCGCCACAAUUGAUGAACAGGGAGGAAUCUGAAUAUAUAUGAAUGAAAUAUUCAACACUCUAAGAUAUUUAAAACUCAGUUCUCAGCAUAGGGACUGCUAUCCAAUAUUCUAUAAAUAAGUGAACUUACCGCGUGGUUUGCCCAUGCAAGGAAGAUUCUUUCUUAAACAUGGCUGCAAUCUGGUAAAAACAUAUAACCAAAAACCAUUUUAGAAUUUAUUUUUUUCAUGGAUAUUUGAUAAUAGAAAUUGUUCUGCAUAGGGUCUUACGAAUUGUCAUUUGAAGAUGAAAAGCUUGACACCAUAUUUCUGCAAUUGCAACGUACAAGCUAUGUGAGCACCAUGGAAAACAAAGCUAAUUGUAUGUGAGGAUCUUUGAAAUGCACAUACACAUUUGCUUGCUGGCACUCAGAUGGAGGGUUACCCGUGAAGUCAUUAUACGAUAUAUCCCUGCACAACAUUAAUCAACUGUCAUGGAAGAAGAAAUAGAUCAAGAUGAAAGAGAAAUUAAAUGCUAGUGCAGGAACAUAUGGAUGCAAAUAGUCUGUCAAUAGAGAAGUACUACGCUGUACGAUACGCACAUGUUUUUUUUAUUGCUUGCCCUGUUUUUCAACAUCCAAUCAGGCAAAUCUCCUGUCAGCAUAUUGCUAGUCAGGUACCUAAUAAUUUGCACGAAUUGAAAUGAGGUUCCAUCAGAAAAUUAAAGGUGAAACUCAGUGCAGGAUACAAAUCCAAUUGUACAAAACACAAGCAAAAGUUGGAAAUUAAAAUAAUAGUAUUACAGAAUGAAUAUCUCACAAAUAUUGUAGUGCUGUCAUUCCUUGAAAAUUUAUUGGGAUUUGACCGGUCAACUUGUUGAAGCUUAUAUCUCUGAAAAUAGAAGACCAUAAUGAUUAAGAAUAUGAUCAAGGAUUAAUGGGACCAUGUCCAUUGUUAUGAGAAAAAUAAUCUAUAAUGCACCCUGUAAUACCCCGCAAAGACAAAUAUGAACUGGAUAAUAGACUAUGGAUGCACAUCAGAAUUACUAAUGAUAAAGGUACACACAGAAAAAAGAGGAGACAAGUGUUUAAUAACAUAGGAAAAUAUAGCAACAUUAAGAGUGCCAAAGCUUUCUCCACCCGUAUUUUACCUAAGAACAACUAUUCCUUCCAUCCAAACAGAGCUAAACAUGCACCCCCAUCUUUUUGUUAUAAUCACAUUGAUAUUAAACAUUACAAAUGGAAAAUUAAGUGAAAUGAUCAGGCAAAGAUUACUUACAAGACUUUAAGGUACUGCAUUAGUCCAAGGUAAGAAGGUAUUUCACCAUAGAUGGAGCAAUUUCUUAGGACCCUGUAAAUCAAAGGGAAUUCAGUAUUCUAGUGGGAAUGAUUUCUGGUAAGAUAGCAAAAAUCUCAGAAACAUGAACUCACAAUUCUGUAAGGUGCAGCGCAUUUUGUAAGGGAGGAAAUUUCAUGCUUGGUCCACUCAAAUCAGUCACCCUCCUGAUGAUGCAAAACCUUCGGUCAAUUACAUUCCUAUUUAAAUACCAGAUUCCCACUACAACAUAAAACUACAAGUAGUUACAAAACAGAACGUAGAAUGUUCAUACAGUUCUGUCAAGUUCUUUAGCAAGGAAAUUUCUUGAGGAAUAGGUCCACUCAUCAAGGUACCCUGCAUGUCUCUGGAAAAUGAAGAGAGGGAUUAAUAUGCAAAUGAGAAUAAAUGAAGAAAAAACUUUUUGAUUCACUUGAAGGUCGAGAAUGUUUUAUAUCAGAGAAGAACUAACAUUCUGUUCACGCGCUGCCAAUUCUUAAUGAAGCUGGGUAUUUUCCCUGAGAUACUGGUCCCAUCAAUACGACUGCAAUUAUUCAAACGAAAAGUUAGAACUUGCUUGAGAUGCAAGAACUUUACACGAUUAAUAUGAAUGGGACAUACAAGUCUGUCAUAUUUGUCAGCCUGGAAAACGUUGGGGGCAACUCUCCUGUGAUGUUAUUUGCAGAAAUGAAACUGUAAGAGAAAAAUGAGUAGUGAUUCAAGAAACUCUGUACAAUGGUUAAUGGUGAAGAAACAACAAUUUAUUUAAAUAUCAACUCAUGACAUUUUGAAUCAAUAAAAUUUAACAGCAUGUCAAGGGAGAAUCAAUAAAAUUUAACAGCAUGCCAAGGGAAAAAGAGAGGAUUACUUCAUUUUGUUUAUGCUAAUUCCUUACAGUUCAGUUAUGAUAACUCACAUAAACUAUAAUGGAACAUUUACACAUCAUUGACGCUUUGAUGCUACUAACAUAUGGCUACUUGACCAAUCUCAAGCCAUGCCAAGAUUCAGAGUUGCUGAAGAUUUUCUUAAAAGGGGUAAAACAACUGCCAAUUGAAUUAUAGUCAUCUUGGUUGUAACAAUAAACUUCCUCAGAUAAAGAUCUACAUAUGGAUUUUAGAAUUUACAACAAAAGGAAUCAGUACAAGAAUUUUGACCGAGUGGAAACAAGAGCUUACAAUCUCUCCAAGCUGAUGAUAUUACCCAGCUCUGGUGGAAUAGGGCCCUCAAUCUGAUUACUUUCUAGCACGCUGAGGAAAUUUGUUAUUAGGUUAUCAUAGUUAGCUCUUUGUAUCUUCCAAUUUUACCUCCACAAAGUUGCAGGUACUUGCAAUUGUAGUGCAGGCACAACUCACAUAGAUUUCAACAUGGGCAUGCGUCCAAGUUCCUUAGGUAGUCUUCCAGAUAUGCGAUUUCCCUGCAGAGACCUGUAGAAUGUACUAGAAUGUUAAUAAAGGACGCACAUAUACACGCAUGCUUGUGAGUUGUGACAAUAUGGUGGGAGCAGCACAAGACAUACAGAUUAAAAACAGGUAGGCUUGCCCAGGAUGCUGGAAUUGGUCCUUGAAUGAAGUUGCGUGGCAAGUCACUGCAAGGAGUGCAAACCAGUUUUUCCAGAUGUACAGUGAAUAUCCUGAAACUCAGGUAGCUUGAUGGACUUACAGAUGUCGCAAAUAAGUAAGAUUCAAAACUUCUUCAGGUAGAACUCCACUGAGAUUCUGACGCCUAAGCUGCCUGUCAUGUGUAUAAACAAAGGCGUGAUGCGAUAACAUUCAAGUACAAAAUGAAUACAGUGGAACAGUUCUAAUGGAUUCAGGCGUGCCUAAGAUGUCUUACAAGCUGAUAACGUGACAUUCCAUGUGGUUCUUGAAUGAACAAUCACAUGUCACAUUGCUGAUAAGAAAUUUGGUGGGGGAAUUGACCCAAUUUCCUGAUGCACUGCAUGGAUCCACGUUGAAGUCCCAGUCCGUCUUGUUAAGCUUGGUUGCUAUUCCUUUGAGCGCUUCAACUGAAAAGGCAAAGGCAAUUCAAAUUUUGCCCAAUGUAAUUUGGUAUAUCGUUAAAAAAAUGCAAUUUGGUAUGCACAAAACUUAGCUGGAAAUUUACUUCCCUGGAAAUCAAAAUUUAUAAAUAAACGGUACCGGAGUAAUAAGGCGAACAUGAAGCAUCCCCGGAUCAAGAACAUUGCAGGGUAGUCACAAUUAGUUUAUUCCACAGAACUUCUAUGAAACAUUCCAAGAACCAAAUAUUUAGAACGGCAGAGGAAAAGGAGAGGGCAGCUUUGGUCCAUCUGCUUCGAUAUAUGUCAAAAGUAUUCCUUGGUUUGAUGCUAUCAACCUCCAGCCACCUAAUCUUUAUCACUUAUGAGCAUGUGCCAGAGCACCAGCACUUAGAUCUCAGCAAUCUCGCAGUAGCAGAAAGGCCAUAUAAUUGCCCUAGCGUAAAUGUGCAAGCCUCUCACUGUCGGUUGUCUUCGAGCACCUGCUCCUUAAUCAGGCAGCAACUGAGACUGUUACAAAUCUUGCAAUGCAUAUAUGGCAGUGCUUGUUGUGACCACUGUACUUAGAAGGCCAUACCUUUUCACAACAACUCAACCCACCACCUUCGGUCCAUUAGUCACUUUAGCUUUGCCAGCACCUGAACCUCUCACAAGUCAGCAACAGUCAUGACCGAGCAGCACAUGCAGAAGCCUAGGAUGUGCAACAUACCGUAGGUACCGGUGGUCACGGCAAAACCCCUUAGCACGCGUUGCCGACAAAACCAACAAUCCGGCCAGCUCAGCACAGCGACGCAAACGGCCCGGAUGCACCCUCCGCAUUUGACCAUUUCGUCAAACACUUGGCGUGCGCCACCCACUGGACCAGAGCAAGUUGGCCGCGAGCCACCUGCCCGCAGGCCUGAGCAUGCCUCAUGGAGCGUAAGUUGGGAUUCUUGGAGAAGAACGCGCCAGUCAAAGGUGAAAAUUGGUCGAGAGGAUUAGUUGAUUGGAUCGCCAGGCAAGUGGAGGGAACCGACCUAAUGUUGAGGAAGAAAGUUCGACGUGCGCAAUGGAUUAAAGGUGCUAUCCUAUCUGCGCUAAUACGGUAAUACCCUAGUAUAACAUUGGAUUUUUCAGUGGUGCCCGAGAGAACUAGCAAAUUCACAGAUGGCCCUCGCAUCAAGCGAAACUGGAUUGCGUUCUUGCCAUGUAAGCAGGAACUUUAGAUUGAUUCUGUAUCAGAAAAGUAGUUGUUGGUACGUUUUUGACCCAAGUGCAAUCAUCAAAGAAUGCAUGAGUCUGGGGUGCAUCAACCAAAAUAGAACAAAGAUGUGUGACAGAUUCCGUAUAUGAGGAGAGCUAAUGUUGUUCAUAAGCUUCAAGAACUUAAGGGAACAAAAAAACUUCGCCGUCAAUUUUUUUAUCCACACCUGUUAUCUCAACCGACUAUUUGAGGAGUAGUUUCAAUUCCUCACUCUUGCAGAGUAGGAGAUAGAAAUUCCAUUCAGGAGCUCAAUCAAAAAGGAACAGACUUGGAUUUCCACAGAGCAAAUUAAAACCACCAACCAAAACGUUUUGCUAAAAAAAACUAGCGUUGCUCUAAGAAUUGGGUAGUGGUGCCCCCUCACCUUCUUGCUGCGGCAGCCGAGUAGCCUGCGCCCAGCACCGGCCGCCGAUGCUGCAGCCGAGGCCCAGGAGCAGGAGGAAGAGGCGGCGGAGCAGAACCACAACGCCGCAGUGGUAGCCGCCUCCUCCCAUCCCGCUAGCUUGGCGGGUAGGCGUGUGAGCUUCGUUUGUCUGCGCGUGAGCGAGAGCGACUCAGAAUAUCUCCUUCUUGCCUGGUUUUGUUCCCUGGCAGUCUGGCACAGCACCACGGAAGGAGCCGCCGCCUCGGGAAUUGACCUGAGAUCCUUUUGGUCACCGCCGUGGAUGGAUGGAUCAUGGAUGGGCGCCCGCAAACUAGACUAUGGUCACCGUCGGUGAGCCGACCAACCAAAACCUCCUGCACCUUUCAGUUUAUUAUUUUUUCCACUAAAAAUAAAAUUUUGUACCAAAAUUUUAUCAUUUUGUUCAGCAUUACCUCUAGUGUUAUUCCACCGAAAUUCAAAUUUAUCCUGAUAAAAAAUCACCUUAAAAAAUAGUGAAUUGCGGGCAUUAAAAAUAACAUUUUCAUAAUUAAGGGUAUGUUUGGUUUCGUGCAUGGAACAUGCCACGCCAAGAGUUUGGCAUGCAAUGUGCCACCCUUUGUUAGGGUCAGCUUUCGUUCAUAUAAGGGGUUUUUGGCAUACUUCAUUCGCAUAAUGAUUUUGUGUCUGGACUUGAAAAAGUCUGGCAGGCAAUCUGUCCAUCAAACUUGCAACACAGCUAGGGUUAUAUUGUGGUUUGCUUGGAAAGUAUACUAAACAGAGCCUAAACAAUAAGAUAAACCCAUAUUUCGAGUUGUUUCACCAUUUUGCGGAAAGUUCUACAGGCAUAUAAUUAUGCUUUUUAGGUACUUCUUAUCCUAAAUGACAUAUGUUUAAGACAAAGGGAGUAUUAAACAAUGUUAUUGAUGUCAGUUAGGUCCAAUUAUUUUAUGAAAUUUGUAAUUACAAUAGUAGGUUAGGUUGGAAAAAUAUGAGUACCUCCAAUUUCGAACUUACCAAUAGAAGGGUUUGGUUAAAAAGCAAAGUCCGUCUAGAUUCUUUUGAUGUCAGAGAUGGUAUGGAGCAUGAGCGGAUGUAGUUUUAAUGGUCCAUAAUACAUACUUCUACGUAGAAUUUGAGCCGGUCCAUAUUUAACAAACUAAGACAAAAAUCCAUAGCUAACAUAAUAUAAAAUACUCAUAUUCACGAUUCAGUAUAGGUAGCAGCGGAAGCAGCAAUAUAAAUAAAUUUAAAACAUAAUUCACAUGAUAAAAAGCUUAGUUUGUGAAUUGUAUGCCGAGGACAUUACGUGAUGUUCGUGUCCGUCGCAACUCAAGUCACACACGGUCCCAGCCUGGCAGGAUUCAGGUUACCGCCCGGUGCGGUUUUUAGCUUUCUGUGACAUUGCCCUGACCCUGCUGGUCAUCUCUAUCUCGUGGAAUUGAGAACACAGCCGCAGCGCAACCAGAUCGUUUUGUGGCACGCGCACAUGAGCUGAUGCAGAUCGAUAUGCGCUUGGGGAAAAGAGACGAAGCAGAGAAGACGAGUGUGGCAGUGCCUACCCACUCUGACCUUUCUUUGACGCUUCUCUUCAGUCCACUGCUUAUACCGGCCGUGUGCUGCAACUGCUUAUACAGUCCACUGCUUCUUUCAGUGCCAACUUUGGCCGCCUACCUUGAAUUGAUCUCGUCGUCGACCGGAUGUUAUUACAGUGCUAGCCGCCCAUGCCGCGACCAAAAAUCUGACCGAGGAUAUGGCGAGGAAGCAACAGGGUGGUGAAAUGGUAGGUACAGUAGCAAAGAAGCAGGUGGUUAUUGAUCUUUCAACAUGCUUAGACUGGCACCGUACAAUGGCUGCAAAGAAGAAUGGCCACGACCGUAAUGUGCCAGUGCCACACUGAUGAGCAGAACAGAGAAAUUAGUACCUUGGCAUGGCCUUCAUCGAGCACAUGUUCAAAUAGAAUGCACUCACACCGUCAGCUCACAUGCAAAACUCGUAAACGAAACCAUACUCAAGCAGAGUCCGAACGGGUGUGAAAUAACCGAGUCUUGGUGCAUGCAGCAUGAAAAGGGAAGGAAUGCAGGGGCCUACUUUGUCGAUCAGGUUCAAGAAUAGACAAGCAGAUAAAACUUUGUCUUUUUUUUUUUGCGAAAGAGAUAAAACUUUGUAUUGACUAAAAUAUAUCACUGAACAGAACAAUGAAAGUACAUGAGAUGGGUACCAGAUCGAUUUUGCCAAAAGUAGGGCAGCGUGAUUAACGUUGCACCACGGGCAUUUACUUGUACAGCAAUAUACAGAGUUCUAACUUGUUUCAGAGGCUACGGGUCAUUUGAUGAGGAAAUCAAUGGAAUGUUUUCUAGUUCAAUUUAAUAAAUUUUGCAGGAGAUUGCUUUAAUAACAUGGAAAUCUGCAAGAGACGAAGGUGGGCCCGUACGUUUUCUUCAUUUGUGAAACCGAUUUAUCUUUCCUGCACACGCGUCCAAUUCAGCUCGACAUGAUUCAUUUUUCAGACAGAACAAAUGCAUGUUCAGAAAAAGGAGGGGGGGGGGGGGGGGGGGUAGGAAAACAGAGGGAAAGAAAAGAUGAAGCGCCGAUGAUGUUCGGAGUUUCUGAAUCAACUAGAAAUCACAGGGCGCGGCGUUGCCGCGCCAUCUUCAAGCUGGCCAGUAGUAAUUUUGUGUGGGGUCCAAAAGAUUCAGAAUUUGAUGGAAAAGUAGCAUGUAAGUCUUGUGGUGCGAUGACUGAUGCCACAUAUACAUUUUGAAAGAAAAGAUUGUGGCACAGAAAGAUCAUGUCAUGCAAAAUGUUCGUGCUAAGCUGAAGGCAAAGGCAUAUAAAAGAUUCAAAGACUUGACAUAUAAUCUGAGAACAUAAGUGGCUGCAAAAGUUAAUACGAGAAACAGACAAAAACACAUGUAGGUGUUAGAUUUCUCUGCAUUAGCUUAUUGAUUGAUAAAAUCCCUUUCUGAAAAUUGGUGCCUUCAGAUAUUUCAUUUGGAGUCUACUCUUCUGCAGUGGUCCAAAUUUGUGGGAGCGUCUGGAGUUAGAACCAUAAUGCCAGCAGAUUUAGAAACAUGUAUAGCUGGGUUUUUUUUAUCGAGUUUGGAUCUUUCUCAAGAGUUUAAUUUGUAAUUUGAGUACAUAUAAACAAAGUUACUAUUAUAUUUACGUGAAGUGAGUUUCAACAGUCAAGUAACUGCAAUACAUAAACAUAAGCUCAAAUACUAGAGCUAUAUACACGCUUGGUAUUCUUUUAUUUUUUUAAAAAGAAACUACCAUUUGACAAGUUGUUUGUCAAUUACUGUUAUGCUAUCACCCUUUUUGAUUAUUUGGUUGGGGUAUAAAGUAUUAAAUGUCUACUACAUAUUACCAAGGCACACUGAACAUUCGAGCCGUUGGGCAUUUGAGUUGUAUUAUUCCUUAGUGCAUCAAGAAUUUGCAACUUGAAAGAAAAUAGCUGAGGAACAACAGCUUUGAUCAUUUUAUUUUUAACAGUAAGGGAAGAAGCAUUUUAUGUGCAUGAAGCCUCAGCCUUCUCAUCCCAUGAGAACUGUAAUGCCAGAACUCGGGAGUAUUUGGAAUUAGGACAAUAAUGCCCGAAUUUAGGAGCAUGUGCAGAACUUCCAGUAAGGUUCACCUGAAGCUCUCUCUUCUCCAGAACUUGAAUCAAUCAGAGAUUCAACUUGAAGAAUGGUUAGGCUUCUUUGAAUCAAGCUUGAGGACAUCACACAACUCUAAGCCGUAACCUGGAAGAAAUGGGUAAAACAGUGGCCAGUAUAAGUACUUUCAGCAAUUUUUUUCUAUAAUUUGUUUCAGCAUUGGAAUUAUUAAGCUUAAAUACGUUCUGAUUGGUAAUUUCAGAUUGGAGAGUGGCACAUGGUAAAAGCUAUAUGACAUGAUUUAGAAUUUUAAGAUCUAUCAAUUUUUCCUAUGAACUUGGAAAAUUAUUUGGAUGCUCCAGUGUUAACUUCGUCAACAACUAGCUAGCUUGAUCACUGUUCAUCUUCUCGACACAAGCGCAUAUUGCAGCAAAGAGAGGCUUGGCCAGUUGCCUAGUCCAUCCUUCCCAGAGCAGCAUACGGCAGUGCCUGCAAAGAAGAAAGCACCAAGCCAGCAGCUGCCAUGGAGGCAAUGCUAAGCAAAGAGCUCGAGAGUAAACUCCGUCUCUCAGACAUUUGAUCGAACGUUUGGUGAGCAGCAACUGUUAGAGACGGAGCAGAGAAGAAUAUGGAAGAGGAACUUAUAGCCUGUAGUGGCCCCUUAUCAGGUUCGGAACACCCACCGACCACCACAUUGGUUGCAGCGGUGCUUGACGACAUCGGUCCACAUGCUGCGGAAGGGGAGAGGACAGAGGAGGUGGGUUCGACGACAGCAUACAGCGUGGCUCCAACGAGUCGAGACCGCGCCGUCGGCGAGACAAGCCAGCACCGUAGCGCGGCGGAGGCCAAGGCGCAAGUGCGCUGCGCGGCCCGCCUUUUCUUCUACUCCUCCCAUCAUGCCCCCGCCGCAUCACCUCUUUCCUGCUCGCAGCCACUGCUAUGCGACUCGAUGACGAGAAGAGGCUGCGAAAUGGAGGGAGGGCGCACGGAAUAUCAGAAAUGCGGUGGGAUGCUGGAGGUCGUCCCACCGCUGGAGGGGGAGGAAGGGCCGGCCGGCCGGCGGAGGAGCCGUGCGCGCAGCGUGCUCACCUGCCUGCUCGCGAAACGUCGCGAGAGAGUGAUUGAGCGGAGCCUCUAGACCGUCCGUCCGAUGCGACCCAGCAGGAGAUCCAACGGUCGAAGUUUGGAGGUGACGUGGCCCAAUAUUUUUGCCGAGCUUGGCUCAGAUUUCGAAGAAAGAGACUUGGGCCGUAGCGGCAAGCACACUGACUGAGGGUGUGUGUGGUGUGCAUUUGGUUUGGACGUUCGACUGGGCCUAAGGCAUAGUGGGCCGGUGUUCCGUGCAUGAGCUCAUCCUAGCUAGAAUGCGAAGCCAAUACGAAUUUUUGACAACUUCGAGCUGUUGAUGUCAACCACCGUCGACGACUGUGAUAUCGACCAUGAUUAUUUCGAAAGAAAGAAAAACGCCUCGAGAGUUGUCAUAUUCCGGUCAGACUGUAUACAGGAGUACAUACCCGAUAGUCAGACUACAGUCAUCACUCAUCACGGUUUAUUGGCAGUCGAACGAGUCCGUCUCCAGGCAGUAGCCAAAGUAGGUAUUGAGUACCUGUGACGUACACGCACGCGUACGCUUGCAGCGCCCUUUCCCCCCUACUUUUGGCAAAGAUUACAUGAUGAUGACGAGAUCUGGAAAGAGAUAACAACAGUGCCUAGAAGUAGCUAAAAGCUAAAACCACAGAUGCUAUGCUACGGCUGGCUGAUCGAGGGACGAGACAAUUGGGGCCUGGCCGCCACGUACCCGGCCGCGAUUGUGCGGCGCAGCCAUCAUCAGCAUGCCGGCCGGGGGCACGUCGUUCUCGGGCACCAACGGUCGGGCGCGAGGUGUUGCCCGGCCUACUCCCUUUGGGUCUGUUCGUGACAGCCAUAUCUGCCGGAUUCUGUGCUCAUGGCCGCGGGAGCCCCGGGUCCCACUAGCUCCAUCCGCUCGCGCUUGCGCCUACUUGGUCACCCCUCCAGCCGCAAACUAAACCACUUGUUUUAUUUAGUUGCUAUACUACUUUACUACUAAAAAGUGGUUGAUUAAGCACGGUAUCACCCCCGAGAUGACGUGACACGACACCACGGAUGUGGAAAGCUCAAAGUGCGCUCGCCCUUUCUUUAAUUUCCUUGUUUGACAAGAAGUGAUGAUGCCGUCGUCGUUGCAUAUACACGUAUUACGUGCAGGACACUCUCCUCCCCGUUCAUCAAUAUACUAAGCCAUCAACCAGUGUGUUACCAUCGCAGGAGAUGCUCACUGUGUUACCAACUUAGCAUCACUAGAAUAUCGUCAAGAUUCACGAGGGAGCUUGCUGGCUACCCUUCCGUCUCAAAUUACUAUUCGUUUUGACUUUUUAUAUAAUUUUGAUUUUUCUAUGUACAUAAAUUUUGAUAUGCACAUAAAUAUACACUAUAUCUACAUACAUAAUAAAAAGUUAUGUAUCUAAAAAAAUUAAAAUGAAUAGUAAUUUAGGACGGAAGGAGUAGCUCCGAGCUCCAAGUACGCUGCUCUCCCUCCUUCCACGGUUGCACCGUACCUAACAGGUUCAUACCAUGGACAAACUAAGAUCCCGAGGCGAGUUCCCGCGAGAGAUGAGAUAACAACGGACUGAGGGACAACACGACGGACAACGUUGACGCUACGGUUCGGUCGAGAUGGUCGAGCUCGGCUUGGCCGCCACGUGCCCUGGUCCCUGGGUGCGUUGAUGUAGCUAGGCACGCCGGGCCGAGGGCGGACACGUCGUUGUCGGCCACGGCGGCGAAAGCGGUUGGGCCGGGACAGGCGAGAGAAUACAAAAUUUAGUACUGGGGCCAAUCGGCGAGCCCAAAGUGUUGCCCCGGCCCCGGCCGGAUGACGAUCGAGCACCGCGAACCACCCCGACUCCUUUUCCUGAUCCACACUUCCUUUCCGGGAUGAUGAUGCUCAUGUCCUGGCUGGCUGGCUGGCUGCAUGCAGCUCCUUUUUCUCCUGGCCCUGGCCCCUCCUUCGCCUGGAACCAAAUGCAUAAAAGAAGCGACCCACCAGGCAGGAUGGAACCCCUCAGACACGGACAACCACAACCCCAGCACUCUCAAGGCAGCAAGCCGAGACGAAACGCCGGCCGGCCGCAACGGCAACAGCGUGGGAGGCCUGGAGGCCAGGAGGGAUGGAUUCCCCCAGGCAGUCACGCGCCGUCCGUUCCCCCGAUAUGAUUUUUGGUAUGAUGGGCGGUGGGACGUACGCGCGCCGCUGUUGCAAGCCGUACCUGCUCCGCCGCGCGCUGCGCAAAGAGCAACAAACUAAGAGAGAGACGUGAGCUAGGUGCUCAGGUGGAGGUGGACGGACGUGUGUGCGCACGCACGGCCCACGGCACGGGACUGCGCGGGGAGGGAAGGUCACUAAGGGCGUGAUUGGUUGCUCCGGUCCGGACCGUCCAGAACGGACCGGUUGUUCUGGAUCGUGGGAGACGGAAUAGAGUGAUACAGGAAGGUUUGUUUGGUUGCAUUUUGCUGUCGGCCUGAAUCAUGCGAGGUUGUGUUUGGUUGUUCUGGUUGUAUCGCUCUCGUGUACGACAGGAGUCACUAGAUUGUGUUUGGUACAUAGAACAGGAUGAGGUCGGAGCACCCUAGCACCAUAUUGGUGAGGUUACCAACAAAGAUGAUGAACAUGAGAUGUUUUAAUAUUACAAAGGCUGAUCUCGUGCUUGACUACUUCCAAAGAUAAUAGACUAGUAGUAGGAGUACAAUAAUAAUUAUAAAUUGUAGCCCGGCUACGAUAUGGACCCAACUAACUUCAGUUGCCGUGUUUUUUGAACCGUCAGUCGCUUCUUUGAUAUCGACAUCU
RNAcentral lists this long non-coding RNA (19946 nucleotides) under Setaria viridis. Its description in RNAcentral is "long non-coding RNA (SVIR_LNC000051)". Lineage: Eukaryota; Viridiplantae; Streptophyta; Magnoliopsida; Poales; Poaceae. The record is from RNAcentral.